Long non-coding RNA from Brassica oleracea var. oleracea, 557 nucleotides. RefSeq lists it as uncharacterized. NCBI's taxonomy places the organism in Eukaryota, Viridiplantae, Streptophyta, Magnoliopsida, Brassicales, Brassicaceae. The transcript is spliced from 2 exons. The record is from RefSeq and is a predicted model, not a curated record.
CAUGUAUUAGCAAACAAGAAUUUAACUCAAUGUUAAUAACCUAUUGUCCCCUGAUGGUUUUCUUUAAAAAAAAAAAAAAACAAAAAAGUGGAACAGCCUAUUGUUCUCGUGUCUGAUAAACAGAUGAUGCACGAGGAGAAAGAUGUGAUAUUUCUUGUGUUUCCUUUCCUUGCAUGGAGGAAGCGUUCUUAUCCAGUUUAAGAGAUUUUCAACCUGAGCUUUGUGGUACAACAGCUUAACGAGCAUUACAGGAUGGUGUUCAAGAAACAGUGGUGACAGUAGCAUUUACGGUGCGAAGCUAGAUGCAGGGGGCAGUGAUUUUGCUUCUUAAGGGUUUCCAAGUUGAUGAUCAAAUAAAGGUGUUACUUUCUCUUUCAAAGUAGCUGAUUAUCUUAACAUUUUCUAUGGGUCUUAAUGACUUUUGAAUCAUUUGCAGGCGCCUGAACUACUCUCGUUAUUAUUUUCUGAAAGUAAUCUAUUAGCUCUUAUGCUCAUACAUUUCAUUUGAACAGUUUGUAUGAUUAGGGAUUUAGGAAUUUCUUAGCCUUGUCUAUGCG